AGUUGACCUCGGAUCAGGUAGGAGUACCCGCUGAACUUAAGCAUAUCA
This 48-nucleotide ribosomal RNA is filed under the name Hirsutella citriformis. RNAcentral describes it as "partial 28S ribosomal RNA". The record is from RNAcentral. Lineage: Eukaryota; Fungi; Ascomycota; Sordariomycetes; Hypocreales; Ophiocordycipitaceae.